Molecule: long non-coding RNA, 962 nt
Organism: Gigantopelta aegis
Lineage: Eukaryota; Metazoa; Mollusca; Gastropoda; Neomphalida; Peltospiridae
Exons: 3
Source: RefSeq, a predicted model, not a curated record
GCAAGGUUAGAAUAUUUAAAAAACAUUGCGGGGUGAAGUUUGGCAGCUGAAUCCGUCCCUGACUUUCACCACGUCAGUGCUGUUAUUGCGCUAUGAUUUGUUGGGACCGCGGAAGGCGAAAUCGAUCUGUAUGUAGUACACUUCUAUAGCGUCUUUGAGAUCCAACGUUCAUCACAAUGCAAGUCAUUCACAUCUUUUGCCUUGUCCUUAUUUCACUCAUUGUUUGUGGUGAAAGCCAACCUUUCCGACUGAACGACGAGCUUGAAAAACGAGACGAGUUUGCCUUACUGUUAAGUGGGAACACCUGUUCCACGAAAUGCCAGGCCAAAUGCAACGGAAUAUGCUUCUUUAACACGAUGUCUUUUCGAAUGAAGUGUGUCUGCGCGAAACACUAAACCCGUGUUGGAAACGUCGUGGUUCAAAACCGUUAAAGGCGCAGACCCUAGUUUCAGCCCGUGAAAAUGGACACUACGUUUUGGUCAAUCUACGAACAUGUAGGCCUAACACAUCUGGAGACAGUUACAAUAGAGUGAAACACGAAUAUAUGUGAAAAAGUGGCUGUGAAACAAGGAAAUACCCUCUAAAAAACGACUAAAAUAGGCUAGAGCUCGUCUCCAUAACCGUUACUUCUCAGAGGUACGUGAGUUUCUUAGAACAAUAAAACAAAAAUGCAUUUCGUGGUAUUAUAAACACCAGAAUGACCAGAAACACUUUGGAUGUACGGAAAUGCAUAAUCAAAACAAAAUAACAUACAAAUAUUUAUAAUUGCACUUUCCCCAAAACAACUCCAAUAUGAAAAACAUACGCUCCACUGUUUAAAAACUAGGGUCUGUCGCUUUAAACAUAGUCUUGGGUUAAAAAUCAGGAUUAGUUUUAGAUGUAUUCCCAACUGUAUGAAAUCAAAUACACCGACAGAUCUAGAGGUGUUGUGUAUAGGGAUACAAAUAAACUACACAUCAUUU